ACACGAGUCACUUGGGAUGUUGUUACAAGCAGAUUCUCAUUCAGUUAAGUCUGGGCUGGAGCCUGAGAUUCUGCUUUUCUCACAAGCUCCCAGCUGGUGUUGAU
RNAcentral lists this microRNA precursor (104 nucleotides) under Marmota monax (woodchuck). Lineage: Eukaryota; Metazoa; Chordata; Mammalia; Rodentia; Sciuridae. The record is from RNAcentral.